CAAUUCUUUCAUAUUUAAACACUUACCGCCUGACUUACUAAAAGCUCAUUAAAUAGAAAAGGCAAAAUGAACAGCUACAUCUAAAGCCUAUAUAAUGGUCUGGAAAAUCCUUCUGCCUGGUCUUGCGUUGUCCAGUAACUCAAUGAGGCGGAACUGAAUAAAAGGAAAGUGUUUUCUACCGAACACAUUUCGAACAAGAACGCGUUCUCCCGUUGCCGUGGCAGCAGCGACUUCAGGAAGAACGUUCGGGCGAUUAAUGAUGGAUGCUCGAGAGAUAGAUCUGCUGGGUGUCAACGAGAACAUAGUUGAAAUGCAGAAUUUGGAAGAAGAGGACUUUGCUGUUUCAAAAUCAUCGGAUGCUGAUGCAGAAUUUGACAUGAUUAUUGGGAACAUCGAGGAUAUUAUAAUGGG
Long non-coding RNA from Sinocyclocheilus grahami, 411 nucleotides. RefSeq lists it as uncharacterized. The transcript has 3 exons. The record is from RefSeq and is a predicted model, not a curated record. Lineage: Eukaryota; Metazoa; Chordata; Actinopteri; Cypriniformes; Cyprinidae.